Molecule: ribosomal RNA, 555 nt
Filed under: uncultured soil bacterium
Lineage: Bacteria
Description: bacterial SSU rRNA
Rfam family: Bacterial small subunit ribosomal RNA
Source: RNAcentral
ACACAGUCAGCGGCAGACGGGAGAGUAACACGUGGGAACGCGCCCUUCGGUUCGGGAUAACUCAGGCAAACUUGGGCUAAUACCGGAUACGCCCUUACGGGGAAAGAUUUAUUGCCGAAGGAACGGCCCGCGUCCGAUUAGCUUGUUGGUGAGGUAACGGCUCACCAAGGCGACGAUCGGUAGCUGGUCUGAGAGGAUGACCAGCCUCACUGGGACUGAGACACGGCCCAGACUCCUACGGGAGGCAGCAGUGGGGAAUAUUGGACAAUGGGCGCAAGCCUGAUCCAGCCAUGCCGCGUGGGUGAUGAAGGCCCUAGGGUUGUAAAGCCCUUUCGGCGGGGAAGAUAAUGACGGUACCCGCAGAAGAAGCCCCGGCUAACUUCGUGCCAGCAGCCGCGGUAAUACGAAGGGGGCUAGCGUUGCUCGGAAUUACUGGGCGUAAAGCGCACGUAGGCGGCUUCUUAAGUCGGGGGUGAAAUCCUGGAGCUCAACUCCAGAACUGCCUUCGAUACUGGGAAGCUCGAGUCCGGGAGAGGUGAGUGGAACUGCGAGUGU